GAUGAACGCUGGCGGCGUGCCUAAUACAUGCAAGUCGAGCGAACAGAUAAGGAGCUUGCUCCUUUGACGUUAGCGGCGGACGGGUGAGUAACACGUGGGUAACCUACCUAUAAGACUGGAAUAACUCCGGGAAACCGGGGCUAAUGCCGGAUAACAUUUAGAACCGCAUGGUUCUAAAGUGAAAGAUGGUUUUGCUAUCACUUAUAGAUGGACCCGCGCCGUAUUAGCUAGUUGGUAAGGUAACGGCUUACCAAGGCAACGAUACGUAGCCGACCUGAGAGGGUGAUCGGCCACACUGGAACUGAGACACGGUCCAGACUCCUACGGGAGGCAGCAGUAGGGAAUCUUCCGCAAUGGGCGAAAGCCUGACGGAGCAACGCCGCGUGAGUGAUGAAGGUCUUCGGAUCGUAAAACUCUGUUAUUAGGGAAGAACAAAUGUGUAAGUAACUGUGCACGUCUUGACGGUACCUAAUCAGAAAGCCACGGCUAACUACGG
RNAcentral lists this ribosomal RNA (496 nucleotides) under uncultured bacterium. Its description in RNAcentral is "partial 16S ribosomal RNA". It matches the Rfam family "Bacterial small subunit ribosomal RNA", at positions 28 to 506 of the family's 1533-position model. The record is from RNAcentral.